RNAcentral lists this ribosomal RNA (281 nucleotides) under Salmonella enterica subsp. enterica serovar Tennessee. Its description in RNAcentral is "partial 23S ribosomal RNA". It matches the Rfam family "Bacterial large subunit ribosomal RNA", at positions 2662 to 2925 of the family's 2925-position model. Lineage: Bacteria; Pseudomonadati; Pseudomonadota; Gammaproteobacteria; Enterobacterales; Enterobacteriaceae. The record is from RNAcentral.
CUGAGGGGGGCUGCUCCUAGUACGAGAGGACCGGAGUGGACGCAUCACUGGUGUUCGGGUUGUCAUGCCAAUGGCACUGCCCGGUAGCUAAAUGCGGAAGAGAUAAGUGCUGAAAGCAUCUAAGCACGAAACUUGCCCCGAGAUGAGUUCUCCCUGAGACUUUAAGUCUCCUGAAGGAACGUUGAAGACGACGACGUUGAUAGGCCGGGUGUGUAAGCGCAGCGAUGCGUUGAGCUAACCGGUACUAAUGAACCGUGAGGCUUAACCUUACAACGCCGAAG